CCUACGGGUGGCAGCAGUGAGGAAUAUUGGUCAAUGGGCGCUAGCCUGAACCAGCCAAGUAGCGUGAAGGAUGACUGCCCUAUGGGUUGUAAACUUCUUUUAUAUGGGAAUAAAGUGCAUUAUGUAUACUGCUUUGCAUGUACCUUAUGAAUAAGGAACGGCUAACUCCGUGCCAGCAGCCGCGGUAAUACGGAGGGUCCGAUCGGUAUCCGGAUUUAUUGGGUUUAAAGGGAACGUAGGCGGGAUGUUAAGUCAGUUGUGAAAUUCUGGGGCUCAACCGUACAAUUGCAGUUGAUACUGGCAUCCUUGAGUGCGGGAGAGGUAAGCGGAAUUCGUGGUGUAGCGGUGAAAUGCUUAGAUAUCACGAAGAACUCCGAUUGCGAAGGCAGCCAGCUGGACUGUAACUGACGCUGAUGCUCGAAAGUGUGGGUAUCAAACAGGAUUAGAUACCCCAGUAGUC
This 460-nucleotide ribosomal RNA is filed under the name uncultured bacterium. RNAcentral's name for it is "partial 16S ribosomal RNA". It matches the Rfam family "Bacterial small subunit ribosomal RNA", at positions 338 to 795 of the family's 1533-position model. The record is from RNAcentral.